Molecule: ribosomal RNA, 460 nt
Filed under: uncultured bacterium
Lineage: Bacteria
Description: partial 16S ribosomal RNA
Rfam family: Bacterial small subunit ribosomal RNA
Source: RNAcentral
CCUACGGGUGGCAGCAGUGAGGAAUAUUGGUCAAUGGACGCAGGUCUGAACCAGCCAUGCCGCGUGCAGGAAGACGGCUCUAUGGAUUGUAAACUUCUUUUGUCCGGGGGUAAAUCGCGAUACGUGUAUCGGGUUGAGAGUAUCUUACGAAAAAGGAUCGGCUAACUCCGUGCCAGCAGCCGCGGUAAUACGGAGGAUUCAAGCGUUAUCCGGAUUUAUUGGGUUUAAAGGGUGUGUAGGCGGUUAGGUAAGUUAGAGGUGAAAUCCCGGGGCUCAACCCCGGCCCUGCCUCUGAUACUGGCGGUCUAGAGUUGAGUAGAGGUAGGCGGAAUGCAUGGUGUAGCGGUGAAAUGCAUAGAGAUCAUACAGAACACCGAUUGCGAAGGCAGCAUACCAAACUACGACUGACGUUGAGGCACGAAAGCGUGGGGAGCAAACAGGAUUAGAUACCCUGGUAGUC